UACGAAGGGGGCUAGCGUUGCUCGGAAUCACUGGGCGUAAAGCGCACGUAGGCGGACUCUUAAGUCAGGGGUGAAAUCCUGGAGCUCAACUCCAGAACUGCCUUUGAUACUGAGAGCCUUGAGUUCGGGAGAGGUGAGUGGAACUGCGAGUGUAGAGGUGAAAUUCGUAGAUAUUCGCAAGAACACCAGCGGCGAAGGCGGCUCACUGGCCCGAUACUGACGCUGAGGUGCGAAAGCGUGGGGAGCAAACAGG
This 253-nucleotide ribosomal RNA is filed under the name uncultured bacterium. Its description in RNAcentral is "partial 16S ribosomal RNA". It matches the Rfam family "Bacterial small subunit ribosomal RNA", at positions 524 to 776 of the family's 1533-position model. The record is from RNAcentral.